Exaiptasia diaphana is the source of this 499-nucleotide long non-coding RNA. RefSeq lists it as uncharacterized. The record is from RefSeq and is a predicted model, not a curated record. Lineage: Eukaryota; Metazoa; Cnidaria; Anthozoa; Actiniaria; Aiptasiidae. The transcript has 4 exons.
AUGAUAUAGUAUAUCAUAACUUUGAGAACAGGGCCGCCAUUGAUCAAGAUUCGAGUAAACACUGACUUUUAUCUUUCACGUUUGUGAUAUCUGAAGACUUAAUGAACAUCAUGAAAUACACGCUUGUUGCAAUAUUCUUUCUGGUUGCGAUGGUAAUGAUGGUGGAUGAAGCUAGUGCGGGUGGUUGCCCCACGCCAACAGGGUUUGGCACCUGUGUAGAAGCAUGCGCUGUAGAUGCUGAGUGUGCCGUAGGUCAGAAAUGUUGUUUUAACGGCUGUGGACACGAGUGUAUGGUUACAAGUAAGAGACGUUAAAUGAAAUUUCAGUUUGACCGAGUUGCAGGACAGGACGAUAUGUUUUACGAAUAACCACUAAAAUGAGGAUCAAGAUUCAAAAUGUUAAAAAAAAUGUAGUUUGGGGUAAUAUUUGGAAUAAAUUGUUAAAUCACUUCUAGCUUCUGCAGUUGUUGUCACUAAUAAACAUAUAUGACUAUGCAUAA